RNAcentral lists this ribosomal RNA (435 nucleotides) under uncultured bacterium. RNAcentral's name for it is "bacterial SSU rRNA". It matches the Rfam family "Bacterial small subunit ribosomal RNA", at positions 958 to 1392 of the family's 1533-position model. The record is from RNAcentral.
AACGCGAAGAACCUUACCUGGCCUUGACAUGCUGAGAACUUUCCAGAGAUGGAUUGGUGCCUUCGGGAACUCAGACACAGGUGCUGCAUGGCUGUCGUCAGCUCGUGUCGUGAGAUGUUGGGUUAAGUCCCGUAACGAGCGCAACCCUUGUCCUUAGUUACCAGCACGUUAUGGUGGGCACUCUAAGGAGACUGCCGGUGACAAACCGGAGGAAGGUGGGGAUGACGUCAAGUCACCAUGGCCCUUACGGCCAGGGCUACACACGUGCUACAAUGGUCGGUACAAAGGGUUGCCAAGCCGCGAGGUGGAGCUAAUCCCAUAAAACCGAUCGUAGUCCGGAUCGCAGUCUGCAACUCGACUGCGUGAAGUCGGAAUCGCUAGUAAUCGUGAAUCAGAACGUCACGGUGAAUACGUUCCCGGGCCUUGUACACACCG